CCCUUAGACGUUCUGGGCCGCACGCGCGCUACACUGACCAGUGCAACAAGCAUCCGUCCUUGGCCGACAGGCCCGGGCAAUCUUUGAACGCUGGUCGUGAUGGGGAUAGACUUUUGCAAUUUUUGGUCUUCAACGAGGAAUUCCUAGUAAACGCAAGUCAUCAACUUGCAUUGAUUACGUCCCUGCCCUUUGUACACACCGCCCGUCGCUCCUACCGAUUGAAUGAUCCGAUGAAUAUCAUGGAUUGAGGAUGCAAGCAGGUUCGCCUGUCUUCAUCUUCGAGAAGUGAAGUAAAUCUUAUCAUUUAGAGGAAGGAGAAGUCGUAACA
RNAcentral lists this ribosomal RNA (328 nucleotides) under uncultured eukaryote. Its description in RNAcentral is "partial 18S ribosomal RNA". It matches the Rfam family "Eukaryotic small subunit ribosomal RNA", at positions 1470 to 1796 of the family's 1831-position model. The record is from RNAcentral.